CACCGGCGGCUCGAGUGGUGGCCCCUUUUAUUGGGUCUAAAGCGUCCGUAGCCGGCUUGGCAAGUCCCCUGGGAAAUCUGGCGGCUUAACCGCAGGACUGGCAGGGAUACUGCUGGACUUGGGACCGGGAGAGGACAAGGGUACUCCAGGGGUAGCGGUGAAAUGUGUUGAUCCCUGAGGGACCACCAGUGGCGAAGGCGUCUCACUAGAACGGGUCCGACGGUCAGGGACGAAAGCUGGGGGCACGAACCGG
Molecule: ribosomal RNA, 253 nt
Filed under: uncultured microorganism
Description: partial 16S ribosomal RNA
Rfam family: Archaeal small subunit ribosomal RNA
Source: RNAcentral